AUUUUAUAACAGUGGUUUUCAAACCGCAGGCUAAACAGGCCUCACAAAGCUCCAUUCCAUCUCCUACUUUCGUGCCCUAGCCGACUUUAUUCUUCACGUCAAAUCUCUAUCCGACGAUCCUCCGCGCUGAAUCACCCAGACCUCCAUUCGACGAACAUCCAUGCCGAAUCAGCCAGCCCCGACGGCGAAGCCACCCAUCCCGUCCUGAUCCUGCUGUCCCGAUGAAUCCUGCCGUCCCGAAGAUCCUCCGCGACGAAUCCUGCCGUUCCGAUCCCAUCCCGAUCCUGACGUCCCGUUGCUGGCGGAUAGAGGGAGGAAAGUUUACAAGGGAUCAUUUUUUAGGAGGCGAUACUUCUCAAUGGCUCCAUUAGCAACACCGAUGUACUACUUUGGAGAAAAGUAUGCCCUUGUUCGGUUUAUAAAGUAGGUGAAGUAGGCUGACCUUUAUGUUCAUCUCCGCCAUUGGUCCCUAUGUUUGUGCUGAAUGGAAUUUUGGUGGUUUUCCAGUUUGGUUAAAAUAUGUUCCUGGCAUCAAUUUCAGAACUGACAAUGGGCCUUUCAAGUUUACGAUUUGCUUCAUAUCGAUCUGUCUUUAUUUUUGGGAUUAAUUUAUCAUCUUCCUGUUAAUUAUAAACUUUUGAUUCUAUUUUAUUAUGCAAAAAUUCACUGAGAAGAUAGUCUCAAUGAUGAAAGCUAAAAGAUGAAGGGCUCUUCGAAUCUUAGGGUGGUCCAAUCAUUCUCUCUCAGGUAUUCUCAAUUUCCAGUAAUGAUUCUCUCUGUUUUCUAGCUUAGACCUAACAUUAUAUAGAUUUUCUUAUAUAAUCUAGGCAUAACACGUUUGAACAAUCAUUCACAACAUAUAUAUGAUUUGUAUAAAUAUUAUAAAAUAACAAGAAACAGAUAAAACAUAGAAUGUAUUCACAGAGAAAAGCUGCGAAUAACUGGAGAGGAGAAACCAUCAGAUGCUUUCAUUGCUUAGAAGCUUAUACAGUAGUGUUGAUGUAUUACACUGUUCUUUUCUAUAAUUCCUCAAAUACAACUUCCACUUUUGAUUUGUGUAAAGCUAAGCAUUAAGUUCCUCUUUCAAUAAAAAAUUGCAUGAUGAGUUAUGCUUCAUAUA
This is a long non-coding RNA of Dendrobium catenatum, 1120 nucleotides long. RefSeq lists it as uncharacterized. NCBI's taxonomy places the organism in Eukaryota, Viridiplantae, Streptophyta, Magnoliopsida, Asparagales, Orchidaceae. The transcript has 4 exons. The record is from RefSeq and is a predicted model, not a curated record.